RNAcentral lists this ribosomal RNA (389 nucleotides) under uncultured bacterium. Its description in RNAcentral is "bacterial SSU rRNA". It matches the Rfam family "Bacterial small subunit ribosomal RNA", at positions 28 to 419 of the family's 1533-position model. The record is from RNAcentral.
GACGAACGCUGGCGGCGUGCUUAACACAUGCAAGUCGAGCGGUAAGGCCCUUUCGGGGUACGACGAGCGGCGAACGGGUGAGUAACACGUGGGUGACCUGCCCUCAGCUCUGGGAUAAGCCUGGGAAACCGGGUCUAAUACUGGAUAUGACUCCAUGACGCAUGUUGUGGGGUGGAAAGCCUUGUGCGGCUGAGGAUGGGCCCGCGGCCUAUCAGCUUGUUGGUGGGGUGAGGCCUACCAAGGCGACGACGGGUAGCCGGCCUGAGAGGGCGACCGGCCACACUGGGACUGAGACACGGCCCAGACUCCUACGGGAGGCAGCAGUGGGGAAUCUUGCGCAAUGGGCGAAAGCCUGACGCAGCGACGCCGCGUGAGGGAUGACGGCCUGG